Molecule: ribosomal RNA, 670 nt
Filed under: Shimia sp. KR05-67
Lineage: Bacteria; Pseudomonadati; Pseudomonadota; Alphaproteobacteria; Rhodobacterales; Roseobacteraceae
Description: bacterial SSU rRNA
Rfam family: Bacterial small subunit ribosomal RNA
Source: RNAcentral
CACGACGUAUGCUUUCUUCAUGCAGUCGAGCGCACUCUUCGGAGUGAGCGGCGGACGGGUUAGUAACGCGUGGGAAUGUACCCAGAUCUAAGGAAUAGCCUCGGGAAACUGAGAGUAAUACCUUAUACGCCCUUCGGGGGAAAGAUUUAUCGGAUUUGGAUCAGCCCGCGUUAGAUUAGAUAGUUGGUGGGGUAAUGGCCUACCAAGUCUACGAUCUAUAGCUGGUUUUAGAGGAUGAUCAGCAACACUGGGACUGAGACACGGCCCAGACUCCUACGGGAGGCAGCAGUGGGGAAUCUUGGACAAUGGGCGCAAGCCUGAUCCAGCCAUGCCGCGUGAGUGAUGAAGGCCUUAGGGUCGUAAAGCUCUUUCGCCAGGGAUGAUAAUGACAGUACCUGGUAAAGAAACCCCGGCUAACUCCGUGCCAGCAGCCGCGGUAAUACGGAGGGGGUUAGCGUUGUUCGGAAUUACUGGGCGUAAAGCGUACGUAGGCGGGUUGUUAAGUUAGAGGUGAAAUCCCAGGGCUCAACCCUGGAACUGCCUUUAAUACUGGCAACCUAGAGUUCGAGAGAGGUGAGUGGAAUUCCGAGUGUAGAGGUGAAAUUCGUAGAUAUUCGGAGGAACACCAGUGGCGAAGGCGGCUCACUGGCUCGAUACUGACGCUGAGGUA